UUUUGAUAUCUUGUUGUUUUGCUACUCUCACUUUGGAGUUCGGAUGGUGUCUAGCAACGUUGGGUACCUCGUUUCUUGUGUGAGCGAGUGGUUGCUGUUUACGACGUGUUCAUAUAUCGAUUUGUAGUGCUGUAAUGUGCAAAUUAGCGGACUUUAUAGCGGCUCUCUAUUUUCCGUCGUUGUCUUUCGAGCAGCGCCUGUUGUUCCGGUACAAACCGAGUUGAAUGAAUCGCCACAGCCCCAACGUACGUGUAUAUCGCGCAGUGUUGACCAAGUCCAGCAGGAAUUCUGGCAUGGUAUGUGGCUGCACGGAGGAUUCCGAAAAAGAAAAACAACAUGGCUAAUAGGAUGUUGCUGCCCAGGGAGUCCUGGCCGAAGAGGUUUAUUCAUUCCAGAAGCAAGAAUUGUACAAUUGUAAGGCGAAUGGAAAUAAACUGACAUCGACUGA
Molecule: long non-coding RNA, 448 nt
Organism: Ornithodoros turicata
Lineage: Eukaryota; Metazoa; Arthropoda; Arachnida; Ixodida; Argasidae
Exons: 3
Source: RefSeq, a predicted model, not a curated record